AUGGCAACCAACACACAAGGGUCUCAAUCAUCAGAGUACAAAACAUUAACUGUUUCAUUAUCGAUGGAAACCAUUCUGUAUGCAGUUCUAGGAGUGGGCACUGGAAGUGCAUGUUUCUUUGUUAUUAUUGCUGUUUUGUGUUUAAGGAAGAAAAGACGGAUGAAAGAUGCAAAGGAUGCUGUCGAGCAAAAACAGGAGCAUAUUUACAAUAACGAGGCAGCGAUAUCUUCAGCCGGUAAGACUACACAUGGUACGGAUCCAUCCAAUCAGGACGGCAUUCAUUAUGCCAGUAUCAAACACCCCAGGAAAGCUGGAAGCCCUGCAGUGAAGGUUUCUUCACCAGUAACUGAUGAGAAGGUUGAGUAUGCCAGUGUUCAGCACCGCCGGGAUGAAGUGGUAGAGAAGAACGAGGAUGGCCUUCAGUACUCCAGUCUCCAAUUUACUCAAACUGGUGCUUCUGACAGGCCUGCACCACCUGAGGAUACUACUGUCAUCUACAGCAGCGUGAAAUAAACAUGCAACGUUUAGACCCAAAAUGUAUAACUUUUAUCUGCAAAGUUGUACUGAAACCCCACUUCUAGUGGAAGGCCAAUACACGCCAUCAGCUCCAUGGAGAAAAAAGCUUUUUAUGUGCACCUAUUGUUCCGUUUGCUCCAUGACGAUUUUUGUACAUAAGUCUGCAAAAUUUACCAAUUUUAAUCUAACCCGAACUAUCUAAAAACUUUUCAAAUUGUGGCCUUUUUUUCACUAUUUCAACAUGAAUCCUACUACACCCUCUACAGCAUGGCUUGUGCAACUGCAGGCAGUACUUCAAGAGCAUGACGAUGACCACAUAUUAAUAUUUAUUCACCUAUGUAGAACUUUAUUGAGAGAACUUUUAAACUUAUAGAUUCCAACAGCUUUUAAACAUUUCCUGUCUGUUCAGAUGUUUUGUAAUACUGUGUUUCUACUGUAUUUUAUUAAUAUAUUAAAUGUAAUUAGAAAGUGCAGUUCCUGAAAAACUGUGAGUUUGGUUGAAGCUCAAAAAUGUUUCUGUGAUGUAGGUUUUGGUUGCUAAUGUGUUGCCAUGGUACAGCUGUUGGUUGCAUAGGUGUUGAUAAGCAGUCCAUAAGACAUUGCUGUGGUAUAGGAGUUGGUUGCUAAGGAGUUGCUAUGGUACAGGUGUUGGUUGCUUAGGUGUUGGUAAGUGGUCCAUAAGGUGUUGCUAUGGUACAGCUGUUGGCUGCUUGGGUUUUGGUAAGCGGUUCAUAAGGUGUUGCAGUGGUAUAGGUGUUGGUUGAAGUGGUUAGUAAGUUGCUAGAUGUUUUUUGCUAUGUGAGUGCAGUCCAUAAACAUUUGGCUAAAUGAAGGAAUGCAAAUGUUUGUCAUAUAUAUAGCAGUGUCCACAAACUUUUGAAUAAAAUGUGAAUUGCCAAUUUUUUCCCCCA
RNAcentral lists this long non-coding RNA (1427 nucleotides) under Astyanax mexicanus (Mexican tetra). Its description in RNAcentral is "lncRNA (ENSAMXG00005001884.1)". The record is from RNAcentral. Lineage: Eukaryota; Metazoa; Chordata; Actinopteri; Characiformes; Acestrorhamphidae.